This 253-nucleotide ribosomal RNA is filed under the name uncultured bacterium. RNAcentral describes it as "partial 16S ribosomal RNA". It matches the Rfam family "Bacterial small subunit ribosomal RNA", at positions 524 to 776 of the family's 1533-position model. The record is from RNAcentral.
UACGUAGGGGGCUAGCGUUGUCCGGAAUCAUUGGGCGUAAAGAGCGUGUAGGCGGUCCGGUAAGUCCGCUGUGAAAGUCGGGGGCUCAACCCUGGAAUGCCGGUGGAAACUGCCGGGCUGGAGUCCGGAAGAGGCGAGUGGAAUUCCUGGUGUAGCGGUGAAAUGCGCAGAUAUCAGGAGGAACACCAAUGGCGAAGGCAGCUCGCUGGGACGGUACUGACGCUGAGACGCGAAAGCGUGGGGAGCAAACAGG